Oncorhynchus kisutch (coho salmon) is the source of this 2939-nucleotide long non-coding RNA. RefSeq lists it as uncharacterized. NCBI's taxonomy places the organism in Eukaryota, Metazoa, Chordata, Actinopteri, Salmoniformes, Salmonidae. The record is from RefSeq and is a predicted model, not a curated record. The transcript has 2 exons.
GUGCUGUUCUUAACUCUAAUAGCUCCACCCGUUCGAUUAAUAAUUUGCUGUUCUUUAAGCAAGCUUGCCUUGUCUUGAGGCCUCGUGAUCUAAAUUCAGUAGAACUACUGUAGAGACCAAUAGGCUUCUCUGAUACUGAUAUGCUUCUCACGAACUCAGGAGGACACUGGAAUGUGCAUCAUUUCUGGCAUACGGUUACUGAGCUUAAGUGUGUAUAGACCUCAGUGUACGGUAUGUGUGCAACCUUGUUCUCCACACUUCUCCCGAUGUGUGCACUUGUCAUGCACACUCCCUGUGAUGAUGCGAGUGCACACUUAGGGAGAAGUGUUGUGGAGAACUGGGAAGCAAGGUAUGUGUUUGAGUGUUGAAUUUACACCAAAAAUUGGCUACUGUAUGUGUGCUUAGUCCAGUGGGAGAGACCUGUGUAGUGGGCUGGGCAGUGCUGUGAUUUUCUCUGCCGCGUUGGUGACUGUGGUUCGGCUAAGUGUCUUGUAAUGGUUCCUUACCUGUGAACAGCUGCUCCCUGCGCUUUGCCUGUGAGAUGGAACAACCCCCGGAACUGAUGGACUAACACAAGCCUCCAUUUAACCUCCCCCAAUUCUAACGUCAUCCUGACCAGACUGCAGUGGCUGUGGCCAAGUGGAACCUACCUUCUGCACCCUUGCUGCCACUGUGACCGCCUGGGAGAAAGACCCACACCUACCCACUGCCAGUCCCCUAGCCCGACUUGGUGACGGUGUUCCUGGGAUAAUAGGUGGCCACAUCCCCUAGCCGUCAUCCACUCACACACACUCUCUGUGUCCUUCUCUUGCAGUCUCCUGACGUGGUCGAUGACAUUCAAUUCAUUGACGAUGGCUCCAGUAACCCAGUGCAUGCUGCGGAUCCCAGGACUGAGGUGCCCACUGCCACCUCAGCACUGGAGAUGGCCCUCUACAGCAACACGCGCCAGCUGAGGCAGGGCUGCCGCAGCCUGGAGACCGCCGUGCCCACAUAACGCAUCAAACACAUCUACCACAAGAGACAUACAUACACAGAGGAGGCACCGGGUCACUACACACACACUCACAGGUUUGGGAGAUGCGUCCCAUGUAACCACUGCAGAGACCAUGAUGCUGAUAGUCAACACACACAAUGUCAUAUCUUGCCUUUACAGUCUGAGGAUGUGUUGGCCUGAACAUGAGGCCCAACGUUCCUGAGGCUGGUGAGGGGAGCUAGCAUUACGCUUCAGAAAUACCAUUCUCUUUUUUAUUUGUGUUCUUUUUCUUCAGUUUACGUUUUAGUAGCUGAAUUAUAUUAACAGGUGACUUAUGUUUUUACUUUUGACCCUCUGAUUUUUGCUGUUUUAAAUGAAAAAUGUGUUAUGGAAGAGAAAGAAAAAAUAUGAAUUGUGUAGAUGUAAUACUAAUUUUUCAGAUGCUAUUUUUGAGGUUUUCAAUGAAUAUAUUGUGAAAUGUCAGGGUUUUUAGCGGGCUUCGGGGGGCGUGUAUAUAUUGGGAACAUACUGCUACCUUCACUGCCACAUUUUAAACACUACAUACAUAUCUCAACUGCACUACCACACUACUUAGAAAACAACAUGUUUAUUUUUAAAUAAUUUAUUUUGCUUGUAUUUUAUUACUCGAUUCUAAAGCCUCCCCUGUAAUACAUUGUUACCCCCUGUACUUUCGAGUGCAACAAAACAAUGCAUAUCAUUUUAUUUAUCAUAAUGACAUCAAUGCAUAUCAUGAUAUCAUUUUAAUUCAAAUGUACAUCUUAUGAGGCAAGCACAUGUUUAAUCCAUAUCACCAAGGUAUUUUCUUUUACAAUGAAUACAUUUGUUUUCACUCUGAUGCACAGGCCAUAACCAGGUUCUGACUGGUACAUUACAAGGAACAUGCUGUCACAGACUUGUAGGAUACUGAUCCCAGUACAGUUGUUUGAUCUCGGUGGAUCAGAGUAAAGGAUCUCUAGCUUUCCUGGACCAGGUUUAUCAAAUUCUGUCCCAUUCCUAUUCUCGAGAAUGUAACUAUACUGGAGAGACCAGCAGAGACACCCACACACACAUGGACAGAUAAGCCACUAGUCUUUAUUCAAAAUGGCUGUACAUUUAGGAACAUAAUACGGUACUUUCCCUGCCCUUUUGGUGGAAAUCAUUUGUCAAUGUGAAUCUCACUCCUAUCUGGAUGGUUUUCCAGAUUUUACCGGUGAAGGUAGCAGGUGUUUUGCUUUUUUUUAUCUGCCUUUGAUUAAUUUAAAUCUGACACCCACUGAAAAUCCUUUAUUGUUGUGUGAAUAAUGUACAAAAUACUGAAUGGAAAGCUAAAUGUACGGUUGAAAUUGAGCCAGUCUACCAAGCCAAGACCAAGCAAGUGUCUGGACUGGGGAGCUCUCUCCCUACCUCUCUCUCUGCAUGUACAAUAUAUUGGCUUUAUUGGGAGAACCUAUAGAGGCAGAAGACAUUUUGUUAAUCCCUUUUGAAAUGGAUCUCAUUCGACCAUCAUUCUCAUUCUCUUUCCUCUGCUUUACCUGCUGCUGUCAUGGAUGUUCUCUGAUGACAGCUUUGUUUUUGGAGAGUCAUGAUAGAAGCACUCGUGUUUAAUUUAAUGUACUAAUCAUAUCUUUCUGCGUUGCUUUCGCUGACUGAAAUUCAGUUAGGAUGAUAACAUUUGCGAUUGUUUGACUUAAAUAAAUAAAAAUUUACUGUAGUGGGUAAAACUUUCCAGACAAAAUGGGAUUCACAACAUUUUUUUAUGCCAAACAACUGUUGGAACAUCCUUUUGGUUACACUCUUCUCUUGAAUUAUUUUGGGGGACUAUUUUUCCCAAAUGAGUCAGAGGGAAAGGGUAGAAGUGCUGGGGUCAAGGCUCAUCCAAAACUGUAACUAGUGAAUUUGUACAACCAAAGAGGUCUAUUUUGUGGUUCACGAAUAAAAAAAGUGUACUUUUCAUUGAACAAGCUGA